RNAcentral lists this ribosomal RNA (812 nucleotides) under uncultured bacterium. RNAcentral's name for it is "bacterial SSU rRNA". It matches the Rfam family "Bacterial small subunit ribosomal RNA", at positions 89 to 904 of the family's 1533-position model. The record is from RNAcentral.
UGACGAGUGGCGGACGGGUGAGUAAUGCUUGGGAACAUGCCUUUGUGAGGGGGAUAACAGUUGGAAACGACUGCUAAUACCGCAUAACGUCUACGGACCAAAGGGGGCUUCGGCUCUCGCGCAAAGAGUGGCCCAAGUGAGAUUAGCUGGUUGGUGAGGUAAAGGCUCACCAAGGCGACGAUCUCUAGCUGUUCUGAGAGGAAGAUCAGCCACACUGGGACUGAGACACGGCCCAGACUCCUACGGGAGGCAGCAGUGGGGAAUAUUGCACAAUGGGGAAACCCUGAUGCAGCCAUGCCGCGUGUGUGAAGAAGGCCUUCGGGUUGUAAAGCACUUUCAGGUGUGAGGAAAGCAUAUUUGCUAAUACCAAAUAUGUGUGACGUUAACACCAGAAGAAGCACCGGCUAACUCCGUGCCAGCAGCCGCGGUAAUACGGAGGGUGCGAGCGUUAAUCGGAAUUACUGGGCGUAAAGCGCACGCAGGCGGAAUGUUAAGCUAGAAGUGAAAGCCCUGGGCUCAACCUGGGAAGGCCUUUUAGAACUGGCAUUCUAGAGUUUUGGAGAGGGGAGUGGAAUUCCACGUGUAGCGGUGAAAUGCGUAGAUAUGUGGAGGAACAUCAGUGGCGAAGGCGACUCUCUGGCCAAAGACUGACGCUCAUGUGCGAAAGUGUGGGUAGCGAACAGGAUUAGAUACCCUGGUAGUCCACACCGUAAACGCUGUCUACUAGCUGUGUGUGAUUUUAAAUUGUGCGUAGCGAAGCAAACGCGCUAAGUAGACCGCCUGGGGAGUACGGCCGCAAGGUUAAAACUCAA